Molecule: long non-coding RNA, 682 nt
Organism: Nicrophorus vespilloides
Lineage: Eukaryota; Metazoa; Arthropoda; Insecta; Coleoptera; Silphidae
Exons: 3
Source: RefSeq, a predicted model, not a curated record
CUAAUUUACGAGAUUCCCUAUUUGUGUUCAAAUCUUUGAUGUUGAAGUUCAUUUAUUGAUUUUAGUGUAGUUCGGCUGUAAUGUAAUGAUUGGGGACAACGAGACGGUUCCGUUCAAAACGAGAUGUAUAGUCGCUUUAAGAUAUUUUCAAUUUCUUAGAUGUCAUAACAUGGUAAUCAUAGCUAUCAACAGUACUUAAGAAAUUAAUGGCAGAGGAAGAAAUAUGGACGUUAUAGCAGAAAAAGGAUAGUUAAAAGUAUCAAUGGAAGAAAUUUAGACAUCAUAAUAUGAUAGUAUAAAAAAUACUGUUUCAAUCAAAUUAGCAGUAUUGAAAGCAACAUUAGUAACUAAUGAGUUACUUGUCAGCUUCACCCAUAUAUUUAUGUAGAAGAGACAUGCGAUUCUUCCAAGACCAAUUUACUGCACAAUGAAAAAUACAAUUGUCAUCAUUUUUAUUUAUCACAACAAUCUCAAUUGAUUCUGUUCAUCAACGCAGGAAAGAAAAAUAUCAAUUUCAUUAUUAUACAUUUAAUGGAAACUGGCGAGAUCGAAUCCAUUGUUAGUAUUUGAAGGCUAUUUGGACUUGCGUCCGUAAAGGGAAUCUAUUCAUCCCCAUUGUAUAAAAAUAUUGUACAACGUUUUGAAACAAUGCACCUAUAAUUACAAGCCAUUAUACCUGGCA